RNAcentral lists this transfer RNA (76 nucleotides) under Caudoviricetes sp. RNAcentral describes it as "tRNA-His". It matches the Rfam family "tRNA". Rfam says of the family: Transfer RNA (tRNA) molecules are approximately 80 nucleotides in length. Their secondary structure includes four short double-helical elements and three loops (D, anti-codon, and T loops). The record is from RNAcentral. Lineage: Duplodnaviria; Heunggongvirae; Uroviricota; Caudoviricetes.
GUGACUUUAUCAUAAAUGGCAAUGACCCACACUGUGAAUGUGGUCUAUACGGGUUCGAAUCCCGUAAGUCACCCCA